CCUACGGGUGGCAGCAGUGAGGAAUAUUGGUCAAUGGGCGCGAGCCUGAACCAGCCAAGUAGCGUGAAGGAUGACUGCCCUACGGGUUGUAAACUUCUUUUAUAAAGGAAUAAAGUGAGGCACGUGUGCCUUUUUGUAUGUACUUUAUGAAUAAGGAUCGGCUAACACCGUGACAGCAGCCGCGGUAAUCCGGAGGAUCCGAGCGUUAUCCGGAUUUAUUGGGUUUAAAGGGAGCGUGGAUGGGUUGUUAAGUCAGUUGUGAAAGUUUGCGGCUCAACCGUAAGAUUGCCAUUGAUACUGGCAGCCUUGAGUACAGUUGAGGUAGGCGGAAUUCGUGGUGUAGCGGUGAAAUGCUUAGAUAUGACGAAGAACUCCGAUUGCGAAGGCAGCUUACUAAACUGCCACUGACAUUGAUGCUCGAAAGUGUAGGUAUCAAACGGGAUUAGAUACCCGGGUAGUC
RNAcentral lists this ribosomal RNA (460 nucleotides) under uncultured bacterium. RNAcentral describes it as "partial 16S ribosomal RNA". It matches the Rfam family "Bacterial small subunit ribosomal RNA", at positions 338 to 795 of the family's 1533-position model. The record is from RNAcentral.